This 77-nucleotide transfer RNA is filed under the name Nitrospirae bacterium RIFCSPLOWO2_12_FULL_63_8. Its description in RNAcentral is "tRNA-Val". It matches the Rfam family "tRNA". From Rfam's summary of the family: Transfer RNA (tRNA) molecules are approximately 80 nucleotides in length. Lineage: Bacteria; Pseudomonadati; Nitrospirota. RNAcentral also lists the same sequence under 3 other names. The record is from RNAcentral.
GGGCGGAUAGCUCAGUUGGUUAGAGCGCUGCCUUUACACGGCAGAGGUCACAGGUUCGACCCCUGUUCCGCCUACCA